UACGAAGGGGGCUAGCGUUGCUCGGAAUCACUGGGCGUAAAGCGCACGUAGGCGGCUUAUUAAGUCAGGGGUGAAAUCCUGGAGCUCAACUCCAGAACUGCCUUUGAUACUGAUGAGCUUGAGUUCGGGAGAGGUGAGUGGAACUGCGAGUGUAGAGGUGAAAUUCGUAGAUAUUCGCAGGAACACCAGUGGCGAAGGCGGCUCACUGGUCCGAUACUGACGCUGAGGUGCGAAAGCGUGGGGAGCAAACAGG
RNAcentral lists this ribosomal RNA (253 nucleotides) under uncultured bacterium. RNAcentral describes it as "partial 16S ribosomal RNA". It matches the Rfam family "Bacterial small subunit ribosomal RNA", at positions 524 to 776 of the family's 1533-position model. The record is from RNAcentral.